GACGGAGGAUGCAAGCGUUAUCCGGAAUUAUUGGGCGUAAAGCGUCCGUAGGCGGUUUGUUAAGUCUGCUGUGAAAGCCCCGGGCUCAACCUGGGAACGGCAGUGGAUACUGGCAAGCUAGAGUGUGUCAGAGGAUGGUGGAAUUCCCGGUGUAGCGGUGAAAUGCGUAGAGAUCGGGAGGAACAUCAGUGGCGAAGGCGGCCAUCUGGGACAACACUGACGCUGAGGCACGAAAGCGUGGGGAGCAAACAGG
Molecule: ribosomal RNA, 253 nt
Filed under: uncultured bacterium
Lineage: Bacteria
Description: partial 16S ribosomal RNA
Rfam family: Bacterial small subunit ribosomal RNA
Source: RNAcentral